RNAcentral lists this ribosomal RNA (253 nucleotides) under uncultured bacterium. RNAcentral's name for it is "partial 16S ribosomal RNA". It matches the Rfam family "Bacterial small subunit ribosomal RNA", at positions 524 to 776 of the family's 1533-position model. The record is from RNAcentral.
UACAGAGACUGCGAGCGUUAUUCGGAUUCACUGGGCGUAAAGGGUGCGCAGGCGGCCAUUUGAGUCAGGCGUGAAAGCCCGGGGCUUAACCCCGGAAUUGCACCUCAAACUACAUGGCUAGAGCAGUGGAGAGGGUAGCAGAAUUCAUGGUGUAGCAGUGAAAUGCGUAGAUAUCAUGAGGAAUACCAGAGGCGAAGGCGGCUUGCUGGACAAUUGCUGACGCUCAGGCACGAAAGCGUGGGGAGCAAAAGGG